RNAcentral lists this unclassified non-coding RNA (647 nucleotides) under Hevea brasiliensis (rubber tree). Lineage: Eukaryota; Viridiplantae; Streptophyta; Magnoliopsida; Malpighiales; Euphorbiaceae. The record is from RNAcentral.
AAGAAAUAGCGCUAAGAAAGCAGGUGGAAAAAAUAAUUGGUAAUAUAAAUGAAUCGUCAAAAAUGAUUGCUGAUUUUGAAUGCAGGGUGACAGGAAGGUUGAAAACAAAUAAUGCAAGGUUUGAGCACUCGUUUUCUCAAAUGGAUUGUCUUGUUAAGAAGGCCAAUUUGCUGAGAAGAACAACACUACUGUAUCAACAAAGGCUUGAAAAACGAUGUUCAGACCUUAAAUUGGCUGAGGCUGAGGUUGAUCUUUUGGGAGAUGAGGUGGAUACACUUCUAAGCCUAGUUGAGAAGAUUUACAUAGCGCUUGAUCAUUACUCGCCAGUUUUACAGCAUUAUCCUGGGAUUAUGGAGAUUCUUAAGCUGAUCAAAAGGGAAUUAACUGGAGAGUCUACCAAGCUAGUAAAAUCAUCUCCUGCUUAAGAUAAAGAGUCUAAUUCCCGGUGUUUUUUCAUUCCAAUCCUGCUGGUCCUAGUUUGAAGUUCAACACGAUGCUAGAAAAACAGAUUUUAGUUCAGCGGGACAGACGACAUGUAGUUUGUAGCAACUUGAAAUAGCACAAAGUUCUUGAAGUUUCAACUGACCUGUCUUGUAGAGGGUGAGAUCCUAGUUAGUUCUGUAUAUUGUGUAUCAUCAUCGGACAGG